RNAcentral lists this ribosomal RNA (168 nucleotides) under Oxyeleotris marmorata (marble goby). Its description in RNAcentral is "partial small subunit ribosomal RNA". The record is from RNAcentral. Lineage: Eukaryota; Metazoa; Chordata; Actinopteri; Gobiiformes; Eleotridae. RNAcentral also lists the same sequence under 1 other name.
CACCGCGGUUAUACGAGAGGCCCGAGUUGACAGAUACUCGGCGUAAAGCGUGGUUAAUGACUUAUUUACUAAAGCCAAACACCUUUAAGGCUGUUAUACGCCCCCAAAGGUAGGAAGACCCCUCACGAAAGUAGCUUUAAUUAUUAUGAACCCACGAAAGCUAGGAAA